Molecule: non-coding RNA, 3005 nt
Organism: Oryza sativa Japonica Group (Japanese rice)
Lineage: Eukaryota; Viridiplantae; Streptophyta; Magnoliopsida; Poales; Poaceae
Source: RefSeq, a predicted model, not a curated record
AGCGACGACGCUCGCUCAAACGGCGCGCCGCCGGCUGGUCACGGCUGCCAGCAGCCAGACGGCGAGCUGCAAGCCCAUGCAGAGCGGAGCACGCCGCGCGCUGUGGCAGCUACUCCUACGGCCAUGCACGAACCGAGCAUAGCUCAGCCAAGGCAAGACAAAAGUAGAGCAAAGUGAGCAACCGAAGCUUACAACCCAGCGGCGUUGGUGGCCAGCCUCGGGGGCGCUCGGCGGCGCGGCGCGGUGACCAGGAGGGGCGGGGUGCGCAGCGAGGCCGGCGACUGGCGCUGCGCGGCGGCCGACGGUGCCUCCUGCGCGGCGGCGGAACGGCUCGACGGCGACGCGGAGCUCCAGGAGAACGGCGACAGCUCAAACGUCUCCAAGAUCUAGCAUGCAUGUGUGUCCACGAGGUUAGUGAGGCCACAGGGAUGGUGUGUGCGCGAGGAAUUGGACAAUGGCUCACCGGAGGAGGCGGAAUCGACGUUUGACGCCGGUGGCCGGAGUUGGAGAAGAUGACGCCGUUCUUCGUCCAUGGUGCUUCAAUCUUGGGGGUUCUUGAGGGGUUCUGGUCAUGGUGAUGAGAUGACGAUGGUGGCGCGGCGGCUCGACUUGGCGUGGACCAGAUCGACGGGGAGGAAGAUGAUGUCGUGGCGGCAUCGCUCCGGUGCGCGUUCUAGAGCGCCGUGGGUAGGCGCGGCAUGGCAUGGCAUGGCGCGGCGUUCCUUCGCAGGCGGCGGCGGCUCGGCGGUCAGAUGGUGCGUGGUGCGGUGCGGCGGCGGCGGCUCGGCGUGGAAGAGGAAUGGCGGCAGUGGCUUGGUGGCACAGAAGGAAACAAACUUUGUUCAAAUGGCCUCUCAAGCCUAAGGGCAACCAAGUCAUUUGGCUGUGCCGUUACCCACCGUGAGGACCAAAAACGGACAGAAUGAUGUGGAGGGCGCGAUAAAGUUCGACGAUGGCAUAGAGAAAGGCUCAAACUUUUUAGUGGCACAGAGGCAGCCACCAUCUUUUUUAAUGGCAUACAGGAGAAAACCUCACAGGGUGAGAAGGAAGCGUCAUGGCAGAUUCACCGGGCAACGUGCUAGUCUGGUAGGGGUGAAAAUAAAAAAUAGUAAUAGUAGGGACGUGGAAGGGUAUGUUUGUGAAAGAACUUUUACGAAGGAUCUAGAAGAUGUUUUGCCAAUCAAUGAAUCCAACGGCUCCCAUCAUCUUCAACUGAAAUCGGAUGGCCAAUUUUUCUUCGAUGACGUGGCGCACCCCGGUGGUGAAAAACUUUAGUUUUUUUCACUACUUUAGAUUCUAUAGUAGAACUAUUAUGUGUUGAGUUUAAAAUGUUAUUCACAUUGCUAGCGAGAAUGAAGAGUUUAAAUUGCUAUCUUCUUUAAAUAUUUGGGGUUAUCACUCAACUGCUUAGAGAAGAAAUUAUUUGCUAGAUUUGAAUUGCCAUGCCCUUCUGAUGUGAUUUUUCAUGUUAUUGGCAAUUAUGAUAGUAAAGGAGAAUAUAAUGUGCAUCGAGUAUAUAUUUGUUCGAAUUUGACUAUACCUCCUUUUCAUGAUGAAAUGUAUUGUCUAGAGGACCGUAUAUGUAUACGUAAUUUCUAAACCUCACCUCUGAUGUUUGAUGAACUUCAUUUUCUCGUAAAUACUUUGUUUGACCAGAUUUCCUGCUAUAUAUAUAUAUAUAUACUCUCUCACAUAUGGACAAUAUAAUGGUUUAGGCGACUAUUGUCUACAUAAUCUAGACGACCCACACAAUAGAAUAUUUUAAGCAGAUUUUUAUAAGUGCCAACCACUGCCUAUGUUUUGCUAUUAAUAGUAUAGUUCCUUUCGUGAAUUUGCACAAAGACUAUAGAAAAUCAUAAUAUAAGUGCGACCACGGACUUCAUGAAAGUUAGAAAAAUUUUCUCAAGCAUAUAAGCAUAUAGUCUGACGGUCAUUUCAUAAAAAUCUCUUGAUAUGAUUUUAUAAGUGAACAGGAUCAAAUUAAUUUGAAUGUACAAGCCGAUAUGAAAUUAAAAGAAGUAGAAGUUUCUGUACAUGCUAUUAAGAAAAUUUAGGUGAACUAAAUCCUUAUUAUGCCUUUUUUUGUUUUCUUCUGACACAAUUGUAAGUUUGUUUAGAAUACUGUAAGCUGCGGCACCGGAGGAUGGCCAACCUCAUUGGCUACUGCUGCGACGGCGACAAGCGGCUUCUCGUCGCCGAGUUCAUGCCCAACGACACCCUCACCAGGCACCUCUUCCACUGAGUUUCCUCCCUCCCUCCAGUCCCCUAUGUUGUUUUCAGGGUGAUAAAUACAAUGAAGAAGAACCUAAUGCAUUUGAUUUAUUCAAGGAGUUCCACUACAGCAAGAAAAAAAAAGCUACACCAGUGCUGUACAUGAGGCUAUUGUAAGAUGACUUUCAAACUCUGCUGGGAGCCGUGGAGGAGCUUGCGGCGCUCGACAGCGACAACCACUGUGCAGAGCUUGCUGGCGGCGUUGGAUCGACAUUGCCUCCAGUCGUUUGCUGUCAUGCCAGUCCUGGAAGGCCAUGCCGUUGUGCCGCAUGUGCAUCGCCUCCGCACCUGGCUGUCCGCCGCCAGCGGCUGCGGCCUCCUUAGGGAUGCUACCGUCGGGUGUUUUGUCCACCUGCGCGUUGCCAUGCGGCAGAUGAAUAGGCUGGAGCAGCAAUACGCACGAACAUAAGGUGAGGAUUCUACCAUUAAAUGCACUAUGACACAAUUUGAGGAUCAGUUUAGCACUAUAAAACCUGAUGGGAUUCAAGCCAGAUGCCAUAAAGUACUUGUUUUUUUUUGUUGCACUGGACUUCGGACAACUCUGUCUGAUGCUAUCUCUGAAACUGCUGCCAAUGUUUUCUAACGUAAAUGCAGUGCCCUGGUGGGGUUUACUUGAGUCUGUACUAAAUUUUGCUUACUCAUGUAUUAUAAGAUUCAUAUAUACAUUAUGUCGCUGGGGUACAUGUAAUUCAAGUACAAUAAGAAACUACUCGUUUGGCAGCAAUUUUGCAUCA